UAAAGUAAAGAAACAAAAAAGUGUUUUUAUUUUUGAAAAGUACAUAUAAUGCCAUUCUGUUUCAUUAUGUUUUAAAAAUUAAAUCAGUUCGAGGUGAGCCGGUUGAUUUUGGUUUCAAUGCAGAUCCAGUAGCUCUGAAGUUGGUACCCCAUAACAAGAUGGUGUUUGGAGCUGGUACGGGAUCAUGUCUACCAAGAUUGAAGUGCAAACGGAACGCUCGUUGUGUUUGAAGUUACAGAUUGGUUUGUUUUGAUUAACGUUUCCACAAUGAAAGCGUGAUGCUCACCAGUCCAAUUCAUGGCAGCAACUGAAAAACAAACGAAACAAAGCAAAAUGGCAUUAUAUGUAUUUUUUGAAAAUAAAAACACUUAGUUUCUUUACUUUAUUUGCCUUUUAUUUAACCUACAAAUGUGUUAGAUCAUUUUGCCUGACCCUGUAUUAUUAAAGGUACAUUUUUACCUGCACUGGGUCCUGCUCUCCACAUCGUAACUCCACCAUGGCAAAACGUGACACUCGAUGCCAGAUAUCACAUACAACAGCAUAACAUUAAAGAGCGAGACAGAAAUGUUAGCAAAACUAGCAUAGGUAGUAUGUGAGCCCCAGCAGCAACAUCACGCGAGAGGCAAUAUCAUGUCCAUGAAGAAGGAGUUAUUGAGGGAGAUAUUAUCAUGCUUGGUGCUCAUCAACACUCUCUACGGACACAUACGCCUCUCCUCUCGUUCAUCCGCUCUUGCCGCUGACAGGAAAAAUAAACUUGACCCCCGCAUCCUGGCGAGACUUGACCUCUGGACCCCAAUAUGGCCUAAACACUCCUCAUUCCAUCCAUCACGCUUUCGCCGCUCUCUCUCCCUCUUAGAAUCUUGCCAAGAACGCUCCAUUGUGUCUAACCUGCACCAUCUAAUGGGAUCCAAUGCAGUCAAACAGUCCAUGUAGAAGAAUCCUGAGCAUCCAGGGAAGAGAAGACCUCUGCGGAUAGUUCAUUCCAGACUGGACCAGAGACAAACAUUCUCCUCACAUAUGUCCACCGUCCUGAUUGGUCUGCUUCGUUGGCUGCCAUGGCGCCGCAGGAGCACAGGAGCUGAUUAAACAUGAGGUCAUCCUGCCCGCCCCCGCCGCCCCGCCACAGGUCUCAUCGUAGCGAGGACCCGCCGCGCCGAUUGACAACUCAAUGAGACGAGCAGCGGCGGGCUUUUACCACGGCUUCAGCCCUUGAGGGGCAAAAAAUGCAGAGCCACCACCCCCGCCGAGGCGCCACUCCACAUCCCCUCCAUUACGUGCCCCCUUUCAUACUGAUCCCAAAGGACACAUUUUUACCAUGCUUCUCUUUUUGGACUGUUUUUAGCAUUUAAACACUGCUGUCAUAUAACACAUUUUGCCACUUGUUGCUAGGCUGAAUUCAAUCAUAAGCCAAUGAAAAGGGAGAUGAAAUUCUUCCCAAAACAGCACAAUAACCAUUGUGAAGCAUGUUUAUGUACACUGUAUGCCUUCAUUUCACAGUUGGAUCGCCACUCUGCUCUGUAUUACAUAUAAUAAUUUUAGAAAGAAAA
Molecule: non-coding RNA, 1547 nt
Organism: Doryrhamphus excisus (bluestripe pipefish)
Lineage: Eukaryota; Metazoa; Chordata; Actinopteri; Syngnathiformes; Syngnathidae
Source: RefSeq, a predicted model, not a curated record